RNAcentral lists this long non-coding RNA (618 nucleotides) under Rattus norvegicus (Norway rat). RNAcentral's name for it is "long non-coding RNA NONRATT014752". The record is from RNAcentral. Lineage: Eukaryota; Metazoa; Chordata; Mammalia; Rodentia; Muridae.
GUGGAGAGUCGGGGCUGGAACUUACUCCUGAGGGAGUUGCGGGCUCCGCGUCCGUGGCUUCUUUCAGUGCUUCCCUUGAGGGCUGAGUGGCGGUCUGCACCUACUCGUCCUCCAAACGAUGCAUCCUGACUUGUCUCCACACUUGCACACUGAAGAAUGCAACGUCUUGAUUAACUUGCUUAAGGAAUGUCACAAAAAUCACAACAUUCUGAAAUUUUUUGGUCAUUGCAACGAUCUUGAUCGGGAAAUGAGGAAGUGCUUGAAGAAUGAGUACAUGGAGAAGAGGAACAGGAGCAGGGAGCACGGCGCUGCGAUGCGAAGCAGGCUUUCUGAUCCUCCAGAGGAAACUGGAAGAUAGGCUCACUGGAUGCCUCGGCUGGGAGACCUGAAGGUGGCCGGUAGCUGAAAAAAAAUCCCUUCCUUUUGGCCUCUAGGACCCUUUGAAUGGAAAGCACUCUAUGAAGAACUGAGCCGUGGAGAAUCAGGAGAACAUGGGGUCCGGGACUUGCUGAACUUUAAUGCCAUGCACUGUGCCUCUGAAAGUUUCCUCCACUGCUGCCCUGAAUCUGUGUCUACCCAGGCCUGACUCGCCUCCUGCAAUAAAGGCUUAGCACAGUG